AUUAAUGUAGCAUAAUAGUGCGGUAAACUUAAAAUUUACAAAUGAUUAAUAAUCCGUUAAUA
This 62-nucleotide transfer RNA is filed under the name Osculotes curta. Its description in RNAcentral is "tRNA-Leu". It matches the Rfam family "tRNA". Rfam says of the family: Transfer RNA (tRNA) molecules are approximately 80 nucleotides in length. Their secondary structure includes four short double-helical elements and three loops (D, anti-codon, and T loops). Lineage: Eukaryota; Metazoa; Arthropoda; Insecta; Psocodea; Philopteridae. The record is from RNAcentral.